UGAAAAUGACAAAAGGAAAGAAAAAGAAAAAAGAGGAAAAGAAAGGGGAAAAAAAGGAAAGAAACAGAAAAGGAAGAGGAAGGGGAGAGGAAUGUUCCAGCACAAUGAGGAUUACAGAGAAGCAUCAUUCUUCCGUGCCAUAGUAUUUGAGAAACUUCUUGAUCCUUGUGGCCUGAGUCUCUGGAGAGGGAAGGGAGAUCCCCCGGAGCACAGACAAGCCCUUGGGAAGAGGAGCCACCAGGAGAGGAGCAGGUCACAGGGGCACCUCGGUGGGGAGAUGUUUCCCCGGCGAUCCAUGGAGGGAUUUGCUGAGCUAAGGAGCCACAGAAAGCUGCUGGGCACUGAGCAGGGCUGGAGAAAAGCACCUGACCUGCAGAACCCAGGAGGAGGAUGCUUGGUCACAACAUGGGAUUCUCUGGUGACAAGAGAAGAAGCAAACAGGAUCCCCAGGCUCUGGUGACACUACUGCAGCUAUUGAUUGCCUCCAGUUAUCACCAAGCUGCACUGAUCAGAAACAGGGUGUGCAAAAAUGUUCUCUGUGCUGAGCUGGCCAGAGAGGGAACGGGUACAAACCUCCCUGUAAAGAAUACAGUGAUUUAUUUGGUGAAGUAUUGGCUUCUUCUGCUGACACCAAACGCCUCAGGGACCGCAAGCACGGGGAGAAAACAUUAAUCAUCAGGACAAGGAGGUGCAGGCGUUUGCAGCUCUUGUGUACACAAAGCCAGAAGUCUUUGGCCUGGUACUGAUUGGAGAAAAUGCUCAGUUGUAGUUCUUGGCCUCCUGUCUUUUGCUUCAACUGACAUUCAUGACAAAAUCUAAAAGAAAAAAAAAAAAAAAAAAAAGGUCAAGUUUGGCCACUGUUUCGGGAAGUUCUGUGCCAUGAAGUUUCAGCUCAUUCAUAUAGUUAAUAUAAAUGAGAUGCUGAGAUACAAAUCCAUCAGGAAAAAGUCAUUAAGUUGUUCUGCCCUGCUGAUGGCCAUUUCACAUAUUUUGAUCUCUCCAACUUGCUUCAGUUCCUCAGAGCAUAAGCCAGAGGCUUGUCUGUCUUUCCUCUGGGGCUCCUUAACUGCAUAAGAUGGAUCGACAGCACCAAAUGUGAUCAUAGAAUCAUCAAGGUAGGAAGAGACCUCCAAGAUUAUCAAGUGCAGCCUUUGAACAAACACCACCGUGCUCACUAUAUAAUGUAGAGAGAAGAGGCUCUCUGUAGGGUGUCAGUCACAGAUAAUGCAAAGAUUUACAUGUAAGCAGAAACACUGCCACCGGAGACUCAAUCCCAGCCCCUCAAAGGAAGUCACUGUGAAGUACUGAUGGGGAAGUGACAAAAAGAUGAGAAGCUUUGGGAGUGAAAUGUAUGGUUAAUGUAAACAUGCUUGUUAUUUAACCCUCCUCGUGGUAAACACCAUUAAGUAAAUAUACAAGAGUUAUCUGUUGCAGGUAAGCCAAGCCUACUGUUCCUAGAGUGUUCUGUAGAGGAGGAACACAUGAAUGUUUCUAUUUUACAGAUGGGAAUGGGCACCUGGUGAGAUGUAGUUGUGCAUCAAGCUGUGCAGCAGACAACCUCAGCACAAGGAAUUAGAGUUCAUGCUUCUUAAGGCAAAUUCGACUUUCGAUCCACAAGGUAUUUUAUUCUCCAUUAAAGUACAUUUCUUUGUAAAGCAGACAUUAUAGAGAAAAAUCUGUAUUAGGUCAGAAUACUGAACUGAGGGAAAACACUGUUUGGGGUGAUAUUGCUUCUUCUGUCACUUAAUAUGCUGGAACUGCAAUAAGCUUGUGAGGCACGGCAAUUUCUUGGUACAUAUAAAUGCUAAUGGCUUUCAUUAAACACUGGCUCUGAGAGACAGAGCCACAGCCCACUGAAAUGUGUAGAAAGGAAACCCUUGAUUUUCACGAGCUUCUGAGAGGGUCUGGUCGGGCACAAUCUCCUUUCUUUGACUGGUGCACAGAGAGAGCUGAGCUAAGGGGAGCCACCAACAUUGAAAAGUCGCAUCAGGAAAAGCAUCAUAAGGAUCCAGGCAGAGCAUCAUAAGGAUCCAGGAAGAGCAGCAGCAUCUGCUACAACUAUGAACCUUGUAUCACCUGUGGAACUCGCUAUUUGCCUGUAAAGAAAAAUUAUUCUACAGCAGAGAAACAGCAAAGAGCUGGUGUGGCUUAUGAGAAACCAACCCCAAGUUCAUGUGUCUGAUGGGAUGAACUUUGCCUUAGGGGUUUGAAAAUGCCCCGCUGCCGCUGCUGCUGUGGCUCAGCCGUGUAACCCGUGUCCUGCUCUGCCGGGUUAUUGUGCCGAGAGGCAGAUGAAUCCAUACGAGGCCAUUCUGCAAAAGGCUCCUUGCCUCCGCACAGAGCAAAACUCCGUCCUCAGCAGUUCACUAUUCAUAGCUCCUGCCCUCCUCGGGAGGAGUCGAGGGCGCAGGAAGAGCAGCGGCUGGCUCAGGUUAUCCUGGCACAGUCCAUCAGGGCAGCGCUCCUCAGUGGGGUUUGACAGACCGCUUUCUGUUUCACAGGAAACAGGGAUUUCCCCCCUCCUUUUGAGGGUUAACAGGUGGUUAUGCAUCAAAAGUACCCUAAGUCUGCUUACUGCUGAAUGCCUUCAAAACAAGCCAAGCUGACAUCCUGGCUGUAGCAAUGUGGUGACACUGUAAAAGGCUGUAGGUAUUUAUGAACAAAAGAAAAAAGGGAGGCGGUUGCUGCACGGCAGACAGGUGACAAUUAACUGGUUUUAACACCGGCUUGAUGUGCUGGGGGAAGGCUAGAAGGCAUUUACCGUGCUAUUCCUACCAUGCUAAACACUAAUUAAAGACUGGCAUCUCGUAUGGUUCUCUCAUCCUACAGCACUUCGGUGUUUUCAGUUUUUCAAUAACAAUUUAACACCCUCAUGCCAAGCUGCGGAAAAUUAUCUUGCACUGCAGCAUCUGCUCCCAAGCUCGCUCUGUGUUUGUGGUAUUAAAGCUGUGCCUUUGUACUCUGCUUUGUUAGGCAGCUGAAGGACUGUAGAGUCUCUCCUUUCCUCACUAGUUUUCAAACGAGAGUGUUCAAUGCGUGUUUGCAUUAUUUUAAUGAAAAUCCCCAGGGUUUCAUUAAACCCCUCACUUGGCCUCCUACAGGGAACACCAUCCUUUGCUGCGUGGAGGAGAAUGAAAGCAUGCCCUCAUUCUGAGAGGGAGAAACUUCAGGAAAAGAAGAGCAGUGAUGUCCUUUUGCUUGUGGUUCCAGUUUAUUGUGUAUGAUAUUCACACUGACGUGUGAACAUUUUGCUGAGGGUGCUUUUCAGUUUCAAAGAGCUUUGAAAACAGGGCUAUAUGCUCCUCCUUAAAUCGGUUUUGAGCCUGGAAUAUCAUUUUCCCAAAGUAACUAAUAUUGUUAGGCAUCCAUCUGUUAGUGCCUUGAAAGAACAUAUUUUUCCAAGACUAAAAAGUUGGACUACACUGGGUUGACGGAGUUCCUAAUCAGCUGUUUUUUUCUGAGAGCAAACAAACCAGAGGAGGCUGCACAUGUGGCUCCUGACAAGCAAAACACACAGGAGUGCUGUCAGAACAUCUAUUUAUCCUUGGAUAAGGAGUCUCACACAGACAAAAUGCUGAGCUGUGCCUUUCAGGUGAGAUUAAAGACCUUUUGUGUCCCCAGGGUGCACUCCAGGCCACAUUAGCUGUCACAGGCUCUCUUUAAUAAUUCAUUGUUUCUUCUGAUCAUAGAGGUCUUCUAAUCAGAGAGACCUCUUUUUGAAAGAAAGCCUACCUUGACAUAUUUUGCUGUUAAUUUCUGUAAAUUUUACUAUUUAUGACCUCCUAAAAGAAAACUGUUAUGUGUUAGGGAGAUGUUUAAUUGGGAAUGAAUUACCUUUACUGUGCUAACCAAGAAGUGCCCUAGCCAAGAGCAAU
This is a long non-coding RNA of Hirundo rustica (Barn swallow), 3875 nucleotides long. RefSeq lists it as uncharacterized. The record is from RefSeq and is a predicted model, not a curated record. NCBI's taxonomy places the organism in Eukaryota, Metazoa, Chordata, Aves, Passeriformes, Hirundinidae. The transcript has 3 exons.